GGCAGGGUGGCCGAGAGGCAAGGCAGCCGAUUUAUAACCGGCAGUCCCGAACCAGCUUUCUCAGGGCGAGGAUUCGGGCGCGGGUUCGACCCCCGCCCCUGCCG
Molecule: transfer RNA, 104 nt
Filed under: Planctomycetota bacterium
Lineage: Bacteria; Pseudomonadati; Planctomycetota
Description: Planctomycetes bacterium (marine metagenome) tRNA-Ile
Rfam family: tRNA
About the family: Transfer RNA (tRNA) molecules are approximately 80 nucleotides in length. Their secondary structure includes four short double-helical elements and three loops (D, anti-codon, and T loops).
Source: RNAcentral